RNAcentral lists this ribosomal RNA (253 nucleotides) under uncultured bacterium. Its description in RNAcentral is "partial 16S ribosomal RNA". It matches the Rfam family "Bacterial small subunit ribosomal RNA", at positions 524 to 776 of the family's 1533-position model. The record is from RNAcentral.
UACGUAGGGGGCAAGCGUUGUUCGGAAUUACUGGGCGUAAAGGGCGCGUAGGCGGCACAGCAAGUCGGGAGUGAAAGCCCGGGGCUCAACUGGGGAGGGUCACGCGAUACUGCUCGACUCGAAGGCAGGAGAGGGAAGUGGAAUUCCCGGUGUAGUGGUGAAAUGCGUAGAUAUCGGGAGGAACACCAGUGGCGAAGGCGACUUCCUGGCCUGUUCUUGACGCUGAGGCGCGAAAGCUAGGGUAGCAAACGGG